CAAGUUGUUGAACCAUCAAUGUUGUUGCAACUUGUUGACAAUCAUGUUAACAAGUUGCAACAACAUUGAUGGUUCAACAACUUG
This is a non-coding RNA of Paramuricea clavata, 84 nucleotides long. Lineage: Eukaryota; Metazoa; Cnidaria; Anthozoa; Malacalcyonacea; Plexauridae. The record is from the annotation of a GenBank genome assembly.